GAUGAACGCUGGCGGCGUGCCUAAUACAUGCAAGUCGAACGCAUUGAGAGAAGUGCUUGCACUUUUCAAUUUGAGUGGCGAACGGGUGAGUAACACGUGGGCAACCUACCUGAUAGCGGGGGAUAACGAGUGGAAACAUUCGCUAAUACCGCAUAACAAUAGAGAAGGCAUCUUCUUUAUUUAAAAGGCGCUUUCAAGCGUCACUAUCAGAUGGGCCCGCGGUGCAUUAGUUAGUUGGUGGGGUGAAGGCCUACCAAGACGAUGAUGCAUAGCCGAGUUGGGAGACGGAUCGGCCACAUUGGGACUGAGACACGGCCCAAACUCCUACGGGAGGCUGCAGUAGGGAAUCUUCCACAAUGGACGAAAGUCUGAUGGAGCAACGCCGCGUGUGUGAUGAAGGCUUUCGGGUCGUAAAGCACUGUUGUAUGGGAAGAAAUGCUAGGCUAGGAAAUGAGCUUAGUUUGACGGUACCAUACCAGAAAGGGACGGCUAAAUACGUGCCAGCCGCCGCAGUAA
Molecule: ribosomal RNA, 516 nt
Filed under: uncultured bacterium
Lineage: Bacteria
Description: partial 16S ribosomal RNA
Rfam family: Bacterial small subunit ribosomal RNA
Source: RNAcentral